RNAcentral lists this ribosomal RNA (493 nucleotides) under uncultured bacterium. Its description in RNAcentral is "partial 16S ribosomal RNA". It matches the Rfam family "Bacterial small subunit ribosomal RNA", at positions 28 to 507 of the family's 1533-position model. The record is from RNAcentral.
GACGAACGCUGGCGGCGUGCUUAACACAUGCAAGUCGACGACGCUACUGAGUAGCAAUAUUUAGUAGUGGAGUGGCGCAAGGGUGAGUAAUGUAUACGUAACCAACCCAUCGGAGACGGAUAACAUUUCGAAAGGGAUGCUAAAACGGCAUGAAGCCACGAUUUCGCAUGAGAUUGUGGUUAAAGAACCGGUAACAGGUUGCCGAUGGCUGGGCGUAUAUCCGAUUAGCUAGUUGGUAGUGUAAUGGACUACCAAGGCGACGAUCGGUAGCUGGUCUGAGAGGAUGAUCAGCCAAACUGGCACUGAGACACGGGCCAGACUCCUACGGGAGGCAGCAGUGGGGAAUAUUGGGCAAUGCCCGCAAGGGUGACCCAGCAACGCCGCGUGGAGGAUGAAGGCCGUAAGGUUGUAAACUCUGACAAGCAGGGAAGAACGGCUAUGGUAAAAGGCCAUAGAAUGACGGUACCUGCCUGAAGCCCCGGCUAACUACGUG